Molecule: ribosomal RNA, 893 nt
Filed under: Xepicula crassiseta
Lineage: Eukaryota; Fungi; Ascomycota; Sordariomycetes; Hypocreales; Stachybotryaceae
Description: LSU rRNA
Rfam family: Eukaryotic large subunit ribosomal RNA
Source: RNAcentral
GCAUAUCAAUAAGCGGAGGAAAAGAAACCAACAGGGAUUGCCUCAGUAACGGCGAGUGAAGCGGCAACAGCUCAAAUUUGAAAUCUGGCCCUAGGCCCGAGUUGUAAUUUGCAGAGGAUGCUUUUGGCAAGGUGCCUUCCGAGUUCCCUGGAACGGGACGCCAUAGAGGGUGAGAGCCCCGUCUGGUCGGACACCGAGCCUCUGUAAAGCUCCUUCGACGAGUCGAGUAGUUUGGGAAUGCUGCUCAAAAUGGGAGGUAUAUGUCUUCUAAAGCUAAAUACCGGCCAGAGACCGAUAGCGCACAAGUAGAGUGAUCGAAAGAUGAAAAGCACUUUGAAAAGAGAGUUAAAUAGCACGUGAAAUUGUUGAAAGGGAAGCGUUUAUGACCAGACUUGGCCCGGUUGAUCAUCCAGCGUUCUCGCUGGUGCACUCUGCCGGUCCAGGCCAGCAUCAGUUCGUCGCGGGGGAUAAAGGUUUCGGGAAUGUGGCUCCUCCGGGAGUGUUAUAGCCCGUUGCGUAAUACCCUGCGGUGGACUGAGGUCCGCGCUUCUGCAAGGAUGCUGGCGUAAUGGUCAUCAACGACCCGUCUUGAAACACGGACCAAGGAGUCGUCUUCGUAUGCGAGUGUUCGGGUGUAAAACCCCUACGCGUAAUGAAAGUGAACGCAGGUGAGAGCUUCGGCGCAUCAUCGACCGAUCCUGAUGUUCUCGGAUGGAUUUGAGUAAGAGCAUACGGGGCCGGACCCGAAAGAAGGUGAACUAUGCCUGUAUAGGGUGAAGCCCGAGGAAACUCUGGUGGAGGCUCGCAGCGGUUCUGACGUGCAAAUCGAUCGUCAAAUAUGGGCAUGGGGGGCGAAAGACUAAUCGAACCUUCUAGUAGCUGGUUUCCGCCGA